Molecule: non-coding RNA, 2782 nt
Organism: Phalacrocorax carbo (great cormorant)
Lineage: Eukaryota; Metazoa; Chordata; Aves; Suliformes; Phalacrocoracidae
Source: RefSeq, a predicted model, not a curated record
GUUUGUGAACUGUGUUAAAUUGGGGUUUGACUCCUCUUUAUGCUGGCCUGGGAGCAGAAUUCAGUCUGUACAGCUGAAGGUUCAAUCACUCUUCAAGAGAGAAAAAGGGAGACCAACUUGGCCGAAAUCACAGCAAGAGCAAUACCCGUUACCAACAGCAGCAGUUACGGGGACUGACAGGAUGGUAACAGAAUUAGAGAAAAGAGACAUCAUCAAAAGGACUCAUUCACCUUAUAAUUCACCAGGGUGGCCAGUAAAGAAACCAACUGGGCAAUGGUGUUUCACAAUGGAUUAUCAACAGUUAAAUGCUAAUACUGCACCUUUAACUGCUUCAGUUCCAAACAUUGCCAAGAUUGUGACACUGAUACAGGGAGCUGCCCCAAAAUGAAAGUCUCUUGUGUAUCUGCUAAUACCAUCACCCUAAAAGUUCAUAAUGAGCCGAGAGAAUAUCCUAUGGGAUUUUACACUGGAAAACAAGAUAAUAACCACCCUGCCAGUUAUAUACUCAGCCGAGCAUGCUUCCUUUCUUUUUAUAUUUACCGGAAUCACCCUUUGUUAUGGCAUAACCUGUCUGGGAAAGACUCCACAGGGACUGGUUUCCUUCUAAUUGAAAUUAGUACAUUCCUUCUGGUCCAGACACACAAUCUUUGGGACCAUGCACUUCUAAAUUAUACUGAAAGUGUUGGAUCACUAAAAAAUCAGAGAAAGACCAGAAAGACUACCAGUUGAUUACAGAUGCACUUGGUACCACCCAAAAUAAAUCUUCUCUAGCUCCUAGUUGUAUCCAAGCUCAACUAUGGAUACAAUCUAUAGUUGCUGAAGUUGUACAAGAAGGUGAGGGAGGCACCCUGCCCACUGAAAUUCAAAAGAUAAUUUGGGAUAAUGCAACUAAAUUUGAGAAAGAAUUCCAGUUCUGGUGGUAUCCAGUUAAUUUCACCUAUAACCCUACUGACGGGCAAAGCUACAGCUUUUGUGUUCACAAUACGCAAUGCUUCGGUGUAUACCAUAUGCCCAGUCAUUCCACUGGGAUUAAAUCACAUUGGGGCCGUACUCUACCCAUUAGAACAUUGAGCAUGGGCCCAACAAAGAGAAGACAAAUGGGAAACCCUUGAUGUUGCUGCAUGUGUUGUGCAGGAGCAACAAGGAUUUAUUUGUGAAAGCAAACGCCAUCAAAGCCCAAGACAUUUGUCUCGACACUGAACAAAACAUUUGCCAUUUUGAAAUGCAACCCGAUGAAACCCCUGAAACUGUACUUGUAUAUAUUGGGAAAGGAUGUGCUUGUAUGAGAAGCCUUUGUGACUCUAUACUUGCAGAUACUUGUAAUCACUCUAAUAUUUGUGUUUUAACCUUACUAACAUAAUGGGAUGUGACUUUAAUUAUUUGGCUCCUGUCACAUCCUAUCAAUUGCUACAACCUAACUACAUAUCAUAUCAAGGCUUGUUACGUACCCCCAUUGGAAUGAAUCUCACAUUGGUGAAAAAACUGUUGCGACAUGAUGAUCUGAACCAGUUGCUGGAAAAAAUUCGGAACAACGGAAAAGGAACUCUAAUUACUGUCCAUCGUGAUGCAGAGGAGAUACACUGCGUCUUAGAAAGAGUGAAGAAGGAUGGAGAGCACCACUGGUGGGACACUUUAUUUGGAUGGUCACCAACCACAACAGGAAUCUUCAAGAAGAUGUUUCAUCCUGUCGUAGUUUUACUAAUACUUACCAUAUCAUGUUGUAUUUUAACAGUUACCUUGUAUGUUAAACUUUGGAUUACGAUGAAACAUUUGUAUCACCAAAUGUCCCCACAAGAUAUAUAUGUCAUUGAUAUUCCCCACCACAAGAAUGCACGUGACACACCCUAUACAUCCCAAAUCCCAUGAAGCUUGAGCGUGAACCUUGAGUGACUAUAGUCACGGGGUGAAUUGUGUGGAAUAAUCGCUGGAGCUGACUUAGAAAUUAAACUUAUGUUUUUAGAAAAGGUACAGCAUUGAAGAAGCUUUCAGGGUGAAGUGCAGCUGAUAUAUGAGCAAUCCAUUCCACAGAAUUUCCCUAGUAACCUUAGACGUUGGCAAUGCCAGGAGAACUUGGCAUACUGACUCUAAGAGGAGUUGUCCGGAGGGUGGAGUGGUGUGGAGGCAUCACGGCCAGGCUCUGUGAUAAAUAGGAACUCGAGGUACCAUGGAGCUAGUACGCUGCAUAUUUGCCACCCUGGGCCAACAGUCCAUCAUACUUUUGAAAAAAUGCUGUCCUUUUGGUGAACUUUGCUCAUUAUAAUAUCAUUAUAGUACCAAAACACACCUCCAUCCCAAAAGCUACCCUUCUCUUAAGGUGCAACCACUCCUCACUGGCCAUUCGCUUUUAAUUUCUUGUAGUCUAUGCUUUUAAAAGUAAAACGAGGAAAUUCUACACUGAUAAUAAAGGUAUGUAUGACUAGAGUCACUCAAGCUCCACCUGAAAGAUAAAAAAAAAAGUAUGAAAUGUGUGAAGAGAAAGAGGGUGUUAGGGAAGAUACCAUCAUGUACCACUCUGACUUCUGAGACCAGUCGAUGGGCUGAGCCUCUCUUCCCUCCCCACCGAGACGCCUUUGAGUAAGAUUGGAAACCUCUAUAGAGGCACUUUAAAUCCCUAAUGUAUUAGAGUUGCUUUGCUUCAUAUUAGAGUCGCUUCAUAUUUGUUUAGCAUACUUGUAGCCUAGCGGUGUACUCAUAUCUUUGUUAUUUCAGUGUCUUGUAACCAGCAAUCUUAUCACCAGUAAUCCAAAGAACCUGUGUAUCUGUUGCUUUAAUAAAUUUUACU